RNAcentral lists this non-coding RNA (101 nucleotides) under Betaproteobacteria bacterium. Its description in RNAcentral is "TPP sequence". It matches the Rfam family "TPP riboswitch aptamer (THI element)". Rfam says of the family: Vitamin B(1) in its active form thiamin pyrophosphate (TPP) is an essential coenzyme that is synthesised by coupling of pyrimidine and thiazole moieties in bacteria. Lineage: Bacteria; Pseudomonadati; Pseudomonadota; Betaproteobacteria. The record is from RNAcentral.
GGAACACGUUAGGGGUCCUCGGGGCGCAGGCCGCGGGGUGAGACAAACCCUCUGAACCUGAUGCGGGUAAUGCCGUCGUAGGGAAGCGUGGUGCGACAUCC